UAGGGUGUGGCUCAGAUGUAGAGCACUUGCCUAGCAUGUAUGAGGCACUGGGUUUGAUCCUCAGCAUCAUAC
This 72-nucleotide transfer RNA is filed under the name Ictidomys tridecemlineatus (thirteen-lined ground squirrel). Its description in RNAcentral is "Spermophilus tridecemlineatus (thirteen-lined ground squirrel) tRNA". It matches the Rfam family "tRNA". Rfam says of the family: Transfer RNA (tRNA) molecules are approximately 80 nucleotides in length. Their secondary structure includes four short double-helical elements and three loops (D, anti-codon, and T loops). Lineage: Eukaryota; Metazoa; Chordata; Mammalia; Rodentia; Sciuridae. The record is from Rfam by way of RNAcentral.